Molecule: long non-coding RNA, 931 nt
Organism: Solanum stenotomum
Lineage: Eukaryota; Viridiplantae; Streptophyta; Magnoliopsida; Solanales; Solanaceae
Exons: 2
Source: RefSeq, a predicted model, not a curated record
CUGCACUGUUUUUCUUCCCCAGACGCGACCAAACCCAGAAAAUUAAAUCGCAACUCCAGCAAAGAACGCGACCCGACCCAGCUCUCGCGUCCCUCUCCCUCUCUCCUCACGCGUGUUCAUCCGUAUGCGAAUCUUUCCAGAUGUCUUUAGCUCUUUGCCUCAAUCAUCCUCUGCUCGAAUCGAACGACUGCAAUGCUUUUUCUGCUGAAGAAUGGUACAAGAAUCGUACUGUUCCGGCAGCAGCAUUAUCCUCUAGCAAGGAUUUGAAUUUCAAAUUUCGAAUUCAGAAGCUCCCUCCCAUUUUUCCCUCUUAAACCGAGCCCCAUUUUCCUCUUAUAAAUAGUCCAUGUUCAUCUUGAUUGAGAGAGGGGGGAUGGCUUAUUUUGGGUUGGAAAAAAUAUACAUUGGAGAGAGCUGCCAUUAGAGACGAAAUUACAAUAAAAUUGUUAGCUAUACAACUUUAUAUAAAAUACUUAAGGAUGGACCUUGAAAUCAGAGAGUGAGAGUUCAAAUUUUUGUUCAGUCUUCUUGCUUAUGUCUUGAACACGGAAGUUUCUCGAAAUCAUAUUUCAGUGGUGGUGAAGUCGCUUCCAUGCUCGUCUAGUUCCCGUUCGCUGCUCCGAGAAAGACGCAGGUAACCAGGAUCAACAUCUAGCGCCUCGUUGAUUCAGCUUGAGCAUUCAAAGUCUGUUGGUGAGCCUCCUUGCAUUUAGGAGGACUCCUUAUUUGCUUUCUAGUCUUUCAGAUGUUAGGAUGAUCGGGGGUCCUGUCCCGACAUCCCUCUUUGUUUUAGAGGCUUCAUAGACAGUUAGUAGUUCAAUUGUCUUUGCAUUAUUGUUCUUAUGUUAAAGACUUGGGUUGUCACUUUUGGCCAAGUUGAAUGUUUAAUCUUUAAAACAUUCUCAGUUAUUUUAUUAUUCAGUUCAAUUAA